RNAcentral lists this long non-coding RNA (270 nucleotides) under Mytilus galloprovincialis (Mediterranean mussel). The record is from RNAcentral. Lineage: Eukaryota; Metazoa; Mollusca; Bivalvia; Mytilida; Mytilidae.
CCCCGCCACAUUAUUUAUGUAUGUGCCUGUCCAAAGUCAGGAGCCUGUAAUUCAGUGGUUGUCGUUUGUUUAUGUGUUACAUAUUUGUUUUUCGUUCAUUUUUUUUUAUACAAAUAAGUCUGUUAGUUUUCUCGUUUGAAUUGUUUUACAUUGUCAUAUCGGGGCCUUUUAUAGCUGACUAUGCGGUAUGGGCUUUGCUCAUUGUUGAAGGCCGUACGGUGACCUAUAGUUGUUAAUGUCUGUGUCAUUUUUGUCUCUUGUGGAUAGUUG